AGAGUUUGAUCCUGGCUCAGAAUCAACGCUGGCGGCGCGCUUAACACAUGCAAGUCGCACGAGAAAGGGAGCAAUCCUGAGUAAAGUGGCGCACGGGUGAGUAACAUGUGGGUAUCUACCUUUUUGUGGGGAAUAACUUGGGGAAACCCGAGCUAAUACCGCAUAAGCUCGAGAGAGGAAAGCCGAAAGGCGCAGCAAGAGGAGCCCGCGGCUGAUUAGCUAGUUGGUGAGGUAAUGGCUCACCAAGGCUUAGAUCGGUAGCCGGCCUGAGAGGGCACACGGCCACACUGGCACUGAAACACGGGCCAGACUCCUACGGGAGGCAGCAGUGGGGAAUCUUGCACAAUGGAGGAAACUCUGAUGCAGCGACGCCGCGUGAACGAUGAAGCCCUUCGGGGUGUAAAGUUCUUUCGCCAGGAACGAUAAUGACGGUACCUGGAGAAGAAGCUGCGGCUAACUACGUGCCAGCAGCCGCGGUAAUACGUAGGCAGCAAGCGUUGUUCGGAAUUAUUGGGCGUAAAGAGUAUGUAGGUGGUGUCGUAAGUUUGGUGUGAAAUCUCCCGGCUUAACUGGGAGGGUGCGCCGAAGACUGCGAUGCUUGAGUAUGGGAGAGGGAAUCGGAAUUCCUGGUGUAGCGGUGAAAUGCGUAGAUAUCAGGAGGAACACCUGUGGUGUAGACGGGUUCCUGGACCAUUACUGACACUGAGAUACGAAAGCGUGGGUAGCAAACAGGAUUAGAUACCCUGGUAGUCCACGCCCUAAAACGAUGCACCACUUGGUGUGAGCCAUUCAGUUGGUUUGUGCCGGAGCUAACGCGUUAAGUUGCCGCCUGGAG
Molecule: ribosomal RNA, 835 nt
Filed under: uncultured bacterium
Lineage: Bacteria
Description: bacterial SSU rRNA
Rfam family: Bacterial small subunit ribosomal RNA
Source: RNAcentral